GCGGAUAUGGUGAAAUUGGUAGACACGCCAGACUUAGGAUCUGGUGCCGCGAGGCAUGAAAGUUCGAGUCUUUUUAUCCGCACCA
RNAcentral lists this transfer RNA (85 nucleotides) under Campylobacteraceae bacterium. Its description in RNAcentral is "tRNA-Leu". It matches the Rfam family "tRNA". Rfam says of the family: Transfer RNA (tRNA) molecules are approximately 80 nucleotides in length. Their secondary structure includes four short double-helical elements and three loops (D, anti-codon, and T loops). Further hydrogen bonds mediate the characteristic L-shaped molecular structure. tRNAs have two regions of fundamental functional importance: the anti-codon, which is responsible for specific mRNA codon recognition, and the 3' end, to which the tRNAs corresponding amino acid is attached (by aminoacyl-tRNA synthetases). tRNAs cope with the degeneracy of the genetic code in two manners: having more than one tRNA (with a specific anti-codon) for a particular amino acid; and 'wobble' base-pairing, i.e. permitting non-standard base-pairing at the 3rd anti-codon position. Lineage: Bacteria; Pseudomonadati; Campylobacterota; Epsilonproteobacteria; Campylobacterales; Campylobacteraceae. The record is from RNAcentral.